CCCUUAGGUGUUCUGGGCCGCACGCGCGCUACACUGACGAAUGCAACGAGCUUAUAACCUUGGCCGAAAGGUCUGGGUAAUCUCCAAAUUUCGUCGUGAUGGGGAUAGAUUAUUGCAAUUAUUAAUCUUCAACGAGGAAUGCCUAGUAAGCGCAAGUCAUCAGCUUGCGUUGAUUACGUCCCUGCCCUUUGUACACACCGCCCGUCGCUCCUACCGAUUGAAUGGUCCGGUGAAGCGUUCGGACCGCUUCCUUUGGACGGGCAACCGUCUGUUGGUCGUGGGAAGUUCGUUAAACCUUAUCAUUUAGAGGAAGGAGAAGUCGUAACA
Molecule: ribosomal RNA, 327 nt
Filed under: uncultured eukaryote
Lineage: Eukaryota
Description: partial 18S ribosomal RNA
Rfam family: Eukaryotic small subunit ribosomal RNA
Source: RNAcentral